Molecule: long non-coding RNA, 306 nt
Filed under: Homo sapiens (human)
Lineage: Eukaryota; Metazoa; Chordata; Mammalia; Primates; Hominidae
Description: HSALNT0396499
Source: RNAcentral
CGCUCCUGAACGCCAUCAGCCCCCGCACCUCCAUCAUUCCUCCUCCCACGAGUCUCCUGCUCCCCGUGACUUUGGCCUUCUCUCGGUGCUGCUGAGGCACAUCAGGAAGUGCUGGAGGACGUGGCACUGCGCCAGCACUGGGCGGCCGGCCGUGUAGCUCAUCCCGCAGAUCGUGCUCUACCUGUGCUUGGAGAUGAAGUCCUCCUGGAAGCAGCUCGUGGCCCACUUCUCAGGCAUCAUCACUUCAUCACUGCCCUGACUGUCCUGGUUGCCACGAAAGAGCUGCUGAGGCCACGGCUGUCGGGC